UGCAGUCGAACGGUAACGCGGGGCAACCUGGCGACGAGUGGCGAACGGGUGAGUAAUAUAUCGGAACGUGCCCAGUAGUGGGGGAUAGCCCGGCGAAAGCCGGAUUAAUACCGCAUGAGACCUAAGGGUGAAAGCGGGGGAUCGCAAGACCUCGCGCUAUUGGAGCGGCCGAUAUCAGAUUAGGUAGUUGGUGGGGUAAAAGCCUACCAAGCCGACGAUCUGUAGCUGGUCUGAGAGGACGACCAGCCACACUGGGACUGAGACACGGCCCAGACUCCUACGGGAGGCAGCAGUGGGGAAUUUUGGACAAUGGGCGCAAGCCUGAUCCAGCCAUGCCGCGUGCGGGAAGAAGGCCCUCGGGUUGCAAACCGCUUUUGUCAGGGAAGAAAUCUUCUGGGCUAAUACCUCGGGAGGAUGACGGUACCUGAAGAAUAAGCACCGGCUAACUACGUGCCAGCAGCCGCGGUAAUACGUAGGGUGCGAGCGUUAAUCGGAAUUACUGGGCGUAAAGCGUGCGCAGGCGGUCUUGCAAGACAGGUGUGAAAUCCCCGGGCUUAACCUGGGAACUGCACUUGUGACUGCAAGGCUGGAGUACGGCAGA
RNAcentral lists this ribosomal RNA (601 nucleotides) under uncultured bacterium. RNAcentral's name for it is "bacterial SSU rRNA". It matches the Rfam family "Bacterial small subunit ribosomal RNA", at positions 56 to 655 of the family's 1533-position model. The record is from RNAcentral.